This 468-nucleotide ribosomal RNA is filed under the name uncultured bacterium. Its description in RNAcentral is "partial 16S ribosomal RNA". It matches the Rfam family "Bacterial small subunit ribosomal RNA", at positions 28 to 507 of the family's 1533-position model. The record is from RNAcentral.
GACGAACGCUGGCGGCGUGCUUAACACAUGCAAGUCGAACGGAAAGGCCCUGCUUUUGUGGGGUGCUCGAGUGGCGAACGGGUGAGUAACACGUGCGUAACCUGCCCUUGACUUUGGGAUAACUUCAGGAAACUGGGGCUAAUACCGGAUAGGAGCUCCUGCUGCAUGGUGGGGGUUGGAAAGUUUCGGCGGUUGGGGAUGGACUCGCGGCUUAUCAGCUUGUUGGUGGGGUAGUGGCUUACCAAGGCUUUGACGGGUAGCCGGCCUGAGAGGGUGACCGGCCACAUUGGGACUGAGAUACGGCCCAGACUCAUACGGGAGGCAGCAGUGGGGAAUAUUGCACAAUGGGCGGAAGCCUGAUGCAGCAACGCCGCGUGCGGGAUGACGGCCUUCGGGUUGUAGACCGCUUUCGCCUGUGACGAAGCGUGAGUGACGGUAAUGGGUAAAGAAGCACAGGCUAACUACGUG